AAAUUGAAGAGUUUGAUCAUGGCUCAGAUUGAACGCUGGCGGCAGGCCUAACACAUGCAAGUCGAACGGUAACAGGAAGCAGCUUGCUGCUUUGCUGACGAGUGGCGGACGGGUGAGUAAUGUCUGGGAAACUGCCUGAUGGAGGGGGAUAACUACUGGAAACGGUGGCUAAUACCGCAUAACGUCGCAAGACCAAAGAGGGGGACCUUCGGGCCUCUUGCCAUCAGAUGUGCCCAGAUGGGAUUAGCUAGUUGGUGAGGUAACGGCUCACCAAGGCGACGAUCCCUAGCUGGUCUGAGAGGAUGACCAGCCACACUGGAACUGAGACACGGUCCAGACUCCUACGGGAGGCAGCAGUGGGGAAUAUUGCACAAUGGGCGCAAGCCUGAUGCAGCCAUGCCGCGUGUAUGAAGAAGGCCUUCGGGUUGUAAAGUACUUUCAGCGGGGAGGAAGGUGUUGUGGUUAAUAACCGCAGCAAUUGACGUUACCCGCAGAAGAAGCACCGGCUAACUCCGUGCCAGCAGCCGCGGUAAUACGGAGGGUGCAAGCGUUAAUCGGAAUUACUGGGCGUAAAGCGCACGCAGGCGGUCUGUCAAGUCGGAUGUGAAAUCCCCGGGCUCAACCUGGGAACUGCAUUCGAAACUGGCAGGCUUGAGUCUUGUAGAGGGGGGUAGAAUUCCAGGUGUAGCGGUGAAAUGCGUAGAGAUCUGGAGGAAUACCGGUGGCGAAGGCGGCCCCCUGGACAAAGACUGACGCUCAGGUGCGAAAGCGUGGGGAGCAAACAGGAUUAGAUACCCUGGUAGUCCACGCCGUAAACGAUGUCUACUUGGAGGUUGUGCCCUUGAGGCGUGGCUUCCGGAGCUAACGCGUUAAGUAGACCGCCUGGGGAGUACGGCCGCAAGGUUAAAACUCAAAUGAAUUGACGGGGGCCCGCACAAGCGGUGGAGCAUGUGGUUUAAUUCGAUGCAACGCGAAGAACCUUACCUGGUCUUGACAUCCACAGAACUUUCCAGAGAUGGAUUGGUGCCUUCGGGAACUGUGAGACAGGUGCUGCAUGGCUGUCGUCAGCUCGUGUUGUGAAAUGUUGGGUUAAGUCCCGCAACGAGCGCAACCCUUAUCCUUUGUUGCCAGCGGUUAGGCCGGGAACUCAAAGGAGACUGCCAGUGAUAAACUGGAGGAAGGUGGGGAUGACGUCAAGUCAUCAUGGCCCUUACGACCAGGGCUACACACGUGCUACAAUGGCGCAUACAAAGAGAAGCGACCUCGCGAGAGCAAGCGGACCUCAUAAAGUGCGUCGUAGUCCGGAUUGGAGUCUGCAACUCGACUCCAUGAAGUCGGAAUCGCUAGUAAUCGUGGAUCAGAAUGCCACGGUGAAUCCGUUCCCGGGCCUUGUACACACCGCCCGUCACACCAUGGGAGUGGGUUGCAAAAGAAGUAGGUAGCUUAACCUUCGGGAGGGCGCUUACCACUUUGUGAUUCAUGACUGGGGUGAAGUCGUAACAAGGUAACCGUAGGGGAACCUGCGGUUGGAUCACCUCCUUACCUGAAAGAA
Molecule: ribosomal RNA, 1552 nt
Filed under: Salmonella enterica subsp. enterica serovar Bareilly str. CFSAN000669
Lineage: Bacteria; Pseudomonadati; Pseudomonadota; Gammaproteobacteria; Enterobacterales; Enterobacteriaceae
Description: bacterial SSU rRNA
Rfam family: Bacterial small subunit ribosomal RNA
Source: RNAcentral